CAAAGAACAAAAGGCUACGGCCACCCCUACGGUAUAAACAGUUACGACCAUCCUCUCAUGUGUACAGGCAGUUACGGCCAUCCUAACGUAUACGCGGCUACGACCCUCUCCUAAGAAUGAACAUUUAAGAUCGAUGACAACAUGCAACCACGAUCACCAACUCCAGUCCAUUACGGCUAAGGCCGUUCACCAUUGUAUG
Molecule: long non-coding RNA, 199 nt
Filed under: Nicotiana benthamiana
Lineage: Eukaryota; Viridiplantae; Streptophyta; Magnoliopsida; Solanales; Solanaceae
Description: long non-coding RNA (NBEN_LNC021727)
Source: RNAcentral